RNAcentral lists this ribosomal RNA (253 nucleotides) under uncultured bacterium. RNAcentral's name for it is "partial 16S ribosomal RNA". It matches the Rfam family "Bacterial small subunit ribosomal RNA", at positions 524 to 776 of the family's 1533-position model. The record is from RNAcentral.
UACGUAGGGGGCAAGCGUUGUCCGGAUUUAUUGGGCGUAAAGCGCGUGUAGGCGGCUGGGUAGGUCCGUUGUGAAAACUCGAGGCUCAACCUCGAGACGCCGAUGGAAACCAUCCAGCUAGAGUCCGGAAGAGGAGGGUGGAAUUCCUGGUGUAGCGGUGAAAUGCGCAGAUAUGAGGAAGAACACCCGUGGCGAAGGCGGCUCUCUAGUACGGUACUGACGCUGAGACGCGAAAGCGUGGGGAGCGAACAGG